This 288-nucleotide long non-coding RNA is filed under the name Capsicum annuum. RNAcentral describes it as "long non-coding RNA (CANN_LNC011489)". The record is from RNAcentral. Lineage: Eukaryota; Viridiplantae; Streptophyta; Magnoliopsida; Solanales; Solanaceae.
GUCUUUCCACCACGUUCUCGUGAAUAAUCAACAUGUCAACAUCACAUAAUUAAAAACAAAUAUAAAAAAUAGUAUUAACUUUUUCUCUGAAUAUCUUUUUCUUAACCAAUAAUUAGACAAUAUAUAUUUCAGAAAGAAAAGAAAAAGAAUUAAUGCAAAAUAUCAAAGUUAAUAACCAAGAUAUACCUGAUGCAUUCCAUCUUCCUCCAUGAUAUAUCAUGAUUGAGUGCAAAUUAGCACAAUUCAUAUUUGUGUGUCUCGUUUUUUUAUUUUUUGCAGAACUAUUGA